AUGAACGCUGGCGGCGUGCCUAAUACCUGCAAGUCGAGCGAACGGACGAGAAGCUUGCUUCUCUGAUGUUAGCGGCGGGCGGGUGAGUAACACGUGGAUAACCUACCUAUAAGACUGGGAUAACUUCGGGAAACCGGAGCUAAUACCGGAUAAUAUUUUGCACCGCAUGGUUCAAAAGUAAAAGACGGUCUUGCUGUCACUUAUAGAUGGAUCCGCGCUGCAUUAGCUAGUUGGUAAGGUAACGGCUUACCAAGGCAACGAUGCAUAGCCGACCUAAGAGGGUGAUCGGCCACACUGGAACUGAGACACGGUCCAGACUCCUACGGGAGGCAGCAGUAGGGAAUCUUCCGCAAUGGGCGAAAGCCUGACGGAGCAACGCCGCGUGAGUGAUGAAGGUCUUCGGAUCGUAAAACUCUGUUAUUAGGGAAGAACAUAUGUGUAAGUAACUGUGCACAUCUUGACGGUACCUAAUCAGAAAGCCACGGCUAACUACGUG
RNAcentral lists this ribosomal RNA (496 nucleotides) under uncultured bacterium. Its description in RNAcentral is "partial 16S ribosomal RNA". It matches the Rfam family "Bacterial small subunit ribosomal RNA", at positions 29 to 507 of the family's 1533-position model. The record is from RNAcentral.